CAAUAUGGUUAUCAUAUCUACUCACAGUCAUCUCCCUUUUGCUGAAUAGAAUUGAGAAGCUGAAGCGUGGUUUUGGUAUGCACGUCCCUGAAGAGUUUAGGUAGCUGGAUAUAAUGCGGGGUUCCUGCAUUUCUAAUAAUCAGUUUAAUCACCUCCCUCGGAGCUACCUAUUGGAGGGCAAGUUUGUGAUUUCUACUGAACUUGACAUGGACGCUUUUUAAGUAGUACUUGGAGUGUUGGUGAGCAGCAGAUGUAGCACUCAAGCUGUGAUCACAUGAUCUUGUGGUUGUACUAUUGAUGACCUUGGUCCUACUAAUUCAGUUUAUUUGCUGAAAGCUAUGUUUGGAAAUGAUGCAAUCUGCCAGGCAACAAUAAUUUCUCUGGAGCCUGUACUUAUUAGUGUUAUUGUCUUGAUGUAUUUUCUCACCACGGGAAGCCUUAGGUAUACGUACAAUUAUCGGCUUGUAAUAUGUUCCUAGUGCUAUACUUCUCUAAUAUAUUUAUAUAUGUUACUCUUGCAUCUCUUCCUAGUAUCAUAUGGUGCUCUGCUUCCGUGAGCUUGUGUAUUAGAAGUUGUUAAAUAUUGUGUAUUAGAAGUUGUUAAAUAUUGAUUGGUGGCGGCCAUGUCUGCACCCGAGCUCAAAUGAGCUAUGUUGAACCAUAAAAUCAGAAAUAUAUAUAAAAAGAUCUAGUUUCAUUAUGGUAAACUAUGACAAAUGUUCUAAGAGUUUGCAAUAUUUCAUCACAAAAUCACAUUUGGAGUUGUAGCAAAAAAACAAAAUUGAUACUCUAAAAAUGCUAUUAUCGAAAGCAUUUUAAAGCACUAAUUUUGUUUUAUUGUCAUCACUUUCAUAAAUGUGAUUUAGUGAUGAAAUUUUGAAACCUUUUAGAACAUUUAUCAUAAAAAAGUUCAGCUUUUUUGAAAUAUUUUAAAUAUUUUCGGAGUUGUUAAUCUCGGCUUAUUUGAGCUCUGGUGUAGAAAGGCAUUUUUGACACGCUUGUUAUCUAUAUGACCAAAUCCUAACUGAGCUUGCUCGUAGUUGCGCAAAUUUGACAUUGCUUGUGGCACUCUGUGUUCAUAUCUUCGCUCUGUUGUUUGUCAUGGAAAAAAAUGUUGAUGUGGAACUAUUUUUUUUAGUACCGACCACAUUGAUGUUGUGGUGUGGAAGAAGGAUCAUCUUUCUCGUGAAUGGUGUUUUACGAGUUUCUAUGGAGCUUCGAAAGUCAAUGCUAAUCUCCGUUAGAGCGGUGUGGAGGCACAAUGCUCCCCAAGAUGCCACUAAGGCCACCGUAAUCUCCUCACGCCCUCGCACAAUGCAAGAUGCUGUGAUUCCACUAAGGGACCCUUGAGGGCGGUCACCGAACCCGUACAAAUGGCAAACCUUGGGGGCGGUCACCGAACCCGUACACGUGGCAACCCUUGGGGGUGGUUACCGGUACCCGUACAAAUUGCUCGGGGCUAUCUCCACAACCUAAUUGGAGGCCCCGACGCUUGCCCGGAGCUUCACACCACAAUGAUUGAGCUCCGAGCCACCACCAAGCUUCUAGGAUGCCAAAGCAUCCACGAAGAACAAUAUCUAGGGUACUAAGUACCAAAGGUAGUAAGCUUCUCAACUUCUCACUUCCACGUAUCACCGUGGAGAACUCAAACGAAGCAACUAAUGCAAUUGCAAGAACACACGAAGUGGUCAAGUCCCUCACACUCAAAUCCCUCCACAACAAAAAAGCUAUGGAGAAAUAUGAGAGGAAGAACAAGGAGCUCACAAAGAACUCCAAGAUCUAGAUCCAAGGGGUUCCCCUCACAUAGAGGAGAAAGUGAUUGGUGGAGAUGUGGAUCUAGAUCUCCUCUCUCUUUUCCCUCAAGAACAAGCAAGAAUCAUUCGAGGGAUUGAGAGUUAGCAAGCUCUAAGAAUGUCAACAAUGGAGGUAGAACAAGAGCUCAACGGAUAGAUCAGGCCAAGGGGGAAGAAGACCCCCUUUAUAUAGUGGGGGAAGGAAUGACACCGUUACCCCCACUAUCUGCCCGAGCUCCAGCGGUACUACCGCUGAUUGCAGCGGUACUAGCGCCAGCGAGUGGUACUACCACUGGCUGCAGCGGUACUACCGCUGGCCCGAGCGGUACUACCGCUGGGCCCCUGGUAGUGCAAAGGCACUACCAUCGCCAAGAAAGUCUUCGCAAAAAGGUCCGUCCACGAACAACCGCUAGGCAGGCGGUACUAAGCUCCUGGAGCGGUACUACCGUUGACCAAUGGCGGUACUACCGCCAACCAGCGGUACUACCGCUAGGGCUAGCGGUACUACCGCCAACUCUAGCGGUACUACCGCUAGGUCCCGCGGUACUACCGCUCGACACUGAAACAACCAUAACUUUCGGAUACGAGCUCCGAAUCGAGCAAACCCAAGCUUGUUGGAUUCAGGACGACAAGAGCUAUCCAAACAGCCUUUCUCAUGGCAAACAUCCUUUAGGAAGUGUACAUAGAUUUAACACUGAACCUCUUUUUUCCCUAGCAUCCACACCUUCAUCAGUCAAUGUGGUGGAGUGGCAAACAUCCAGUAGGUCUUGCCAUUGCACAACCAAUUCCCCCCGCAAGCAUCUAUGAGAUUGGAGACAUGUCCCUUGAGAGUGAACAACUUAUAAACAAUUGACAUUUUUGCCAAAUGUAAGGUUAUAUAGACUUUGAAAUCUGGAAAUAAUAGAUGGCAUCCAUGUGAUUGGCAAUUAAAACCAUGUUUGCUUAGUUUUGAGUCCGUCUGUUCUCGGUGGUGCGAGCUGAUGCUGCAUUUUGAGAUUGUGUACAUAAGACGGUAAGACUGUUUGUAGGAGGAACUGGCUAGAGCCAUGGAUAGCUUAAGGUGGAUACCAGCUAAGGGAAUGUAAUGGAAGAUAAUCCAUGGAUACCAGCUAAGGGAAUGUAAUGGAAGAUAAAUUCUACAAAGUUUGCCAUGGAUUUUGAGUCAUGUCCUAAGCCACGUAUACUCUAUGUGCCCCCUGGCUUUCUGUUGGGCCUUGUAUAUUUGGUUUCUGGGAAGUACCGAGUUAGAAGAAAACUGUGCUAAGUGCUUAACUAGCAUAUAUUACCAGCCAUCCUCGUUAGUGAAGUGCCAUUUGGAACACUAUUUUGAGCCAUAAUACACUUUUACCUAUGACAAUGACUUGUUUCUCCUAGUCACAACUCUCCAAUCUUUAGCAUGAACUAACCUUAUUAGACACUCAACUUUAACUGUACUUCCAAGUUUUUGAAGUUGAUUCGAGAAGUUCACUCUCUCCAAUCCAAGAUGUAGGUUUCUUUUAGAGUUGGGCACAGGAUUAAUAGUGUAGGUAGCAAUGUUACCAUUUAUUUGUUUCUACAAUAAAUACAAGUGCUAGAGUUUCUUUUGGCAGCACAAUCAAUACUAGAGUUAUUACUAAUACUCGAUGAAACUAAUGAGGCGCUAAAUAAGCACACCAUGAGCAGAAAUGUGAUGUACUACAGUACUAGGCCUUAUUUGUCAGUUGAAAAGGCUAAACCACAAUUUUCCGUAUUUCCCAGUCAUUGCUGCUAAAUCUCGUUAGACUAAAUUAUCAGUUCCUCUAUAUCCGCAACCCCAGCCUUCAAGUUCUAAACCUUAUCUAGUCUAGAUUAAAUGAAUAUCACAUGUCACAAAGUAAAGCGAAGCAAUUGGUCUUUCCUUGUGCUUUCUAUUGGAACAGUCUCUUUCUAUCUGUGUUCCUGUAUUAUUCAGCUGCCACAUUUUGGUUCUUUAAUUGUCAACAAGUCCAAGUUUUUGCAGCCACUUUGAUGCAUUUGGAUUUAGCAAUUUCAGUUAUUACGUACACGAGUCUUUCUUGAUUAUAUUGCUUUCAAUAUGGUUAUCAUAUCUACUCACAGUCAACUCCCUUUUGCUGAAUAGAAUUGAGAAGCUGAAACGUGGUUUUGGUAUGCACAUCCCUGAAGAGUUUAGGUAGCUGGAUAUAAUGCGGGGUUACUGCAUUUCUAAUAAUCAGUUUAAUCACCUCCCUCGGAGCUAGCUAUUGGAGGGCAAGUUUGUGAUUUCUGCUGAACUUGACAUGGACGCUUUUUAAGUAGUACUUGGAGUGUUGGUGAGCAGCAGAUGUAGCACUCAAGCUGUGAUCACAUGAUCUUGUGGUUGUACUAUUGAUGACCUUGGUCCUACUAAUUCAGUUUAUUUGCUGAAAGCUAUGUUUGGAAAUGAUGCAAUCUGCCAGGCAACACUAAUUUCUCUGCAGCCUGUACUUAUGAGUGUUAUUGUCUUGAUGUAUUUUCUCACCACGGGAAGCCUUAGGUAUACGUAAAAUUAUCGUCUUGUAAUAUGUUCCUAGUGCUAUACUUCUCUAAUAUAUUUAUAUAUGUAAAUAUAUAUGUUACUCUUGUAUCAUCUCUUCCUAGUAUCAUAUGGUGCUUUGCUUCCGUGAUCUUGUGUAUUAGAAGUUGUUAACUAUUGUGUAUUAGAAGUUGUUAAAUAUUCAUUGGUGGCGGCCAUGUCUGCACCCGAGCUCAAAUGAGCUAUGUUGAACCGUAAAAUCAGAAAUAUAUAUAAAAAGAUCUAGUUUCAUUAUGGUAAACUAUGACAAAUGUUCUAAGAGUUUGCAAUAUUUCAUCACAAAAUCACAUUUGGAGUUGUAGCGAAAAAACAAAAUUGAUACUCUAAAAAUGCUAUUAUGAAAGCAUUUUAAAGCACUAAUUUUGUUUUUUCGUCAUCACUUUCAUAAAUGUGAUUUAGUGAUGAAAUUUUGAAACCUUUUAGAACAUUUAUCAUAAAAAAGUUCAGCUUUUUUGAAAUAUUUUAAAUAUUUUCGGAGUUGUUAAUCUCGGCUUAUUUGAGCUCUGGUGUAGAAAGGCAUUUUUGACACGCUUGUUAUCUAUAUGACCAACUCCUAACUGAGCUUGCUCGUAGUUGCGCAAAUUUGAAAUUGCUUGUGGCACUCUGUGUUCAUAUCUUCGCUCUGUUGUUCUUCAUGGAAAAAAAUGUUGAUGUGGAACUAUUUUUUUAGUACCGACCACAUUGAUGUUGUGGUGUGGAAGAAGGAUCAUCUUUCUCGUGAAUGGUGUUUUACGAGUUUCUAUGGAGCUUCGAAAGUCAAUGCUAAUCUCCGUUAGAGCGGUGUGGAGGCACAAUGCUCCCCAAGAUGCCACUAAGGCCACCGUAAUCUCCUCACGCCCUCGCACAAUGCAAGAUGCCGUGAUUCCACUAAGGGACCCUUGAGGGCGGUUACCGAACCCGUACAAAUGGCAAACCUUGGGGGCGGUCACCGAACCCGUACACGUGGCAACCCUUGGGGGCGGUUACCGGUACCCGUACAAAUUGCUCGGGGCUAUCUCCACAACCUAAUUGGAGGCCCCAACACUUUCCCGGAGCUUCACACCACAAUGAUUGAGCUCCGAGACACCACCAAGCUUCUAGGAUGCCAAAUCAUCCACGAAGAACAAUAUCUAGGGUACUAAGUACCAAAGGUAGUAAGCUUCUCAACUUUUCACUUCCACGUAUCACCGUGGAGAACUCAAACCGAUGCAACUAAUGCAAUGGGAAGAACACACGAAGUGGUCAAGUCCCUCACACUCAAAUCCCUCCACAACAACAAAAGCUAUGGAGAAAUAUGAGAGGAAGAAUAAGGAGCUCACAAAGAACUCCAAGAUCUAGAUCCAAGGGGUUCCCCUCACAUAGAGGAGAAAGUGAUUGGUGGAGAUGUGGAUCUAGAUCUCCUCUCUCAUUUCCCUCAAGAACAAGCAAGAAUCAUUGGAGGGAUUGAGAGUUAGCAAGCUCUAAGAAUGUCAACAAUGGAGGUAGAACAAGAGCUCAACGGAUAGAUGAGGCCAAGGGGGAAGAAGACCCCCUUUAUAUAGUGGGGGAAGGAAUCAGACCGUUACCCCCACUAUCUGCCCGAGCUCCAGCGGUACUACCGCUGGCUGCAGCGGUACUACCGCUGGCACUCCAGCGGUACUACCGCUGAUUGCAGCGGCACUACCGCCAGCUAGCGGUACUACCGCUGGCACUCCAGUGGUACUACCGCUGGCCCCAGCGGUACUACCGCUGGGCCUCUGGUAGUGCAAAGGCACUACCACCGCCAAGAUAGUCUUCGCAAAAAGGUCCGUCCAUGAACAACCGCUAGGCAGGCGGUACAAAGCUCCUGGAGCGGUACUACCGCUGACCGUGGCGGUACUACCGCCAACUCUAGCGGUACUACCGCUAGGUCCAGCGGUACUACCGCUCGCCACUGAAACAGCCACAACUUUCGCAUACGAGCUCCGAAUCGAGCAAACCCAAGCUUGUUGGAUUCAGGACGACAAGAGCUAUCCAAACAACCUUUCUCAUGGCAAACAUCCUUUAGGAAGUGUACAUAGAUUUAACACUGAACCCCUUUUUUACCUAGCAUCCACACCUUCAUCAGUCAAUGUGGUGGAGUGGCAAACAUCCAGUAGGUCUUGCCAUUGCACAGCCAAUUCCCCCCGCAAGCAUCUAUGAGAUUGGAGACAUGUCCCUUGAGAGUGAACAACUUAUAAAAAUUGACAUUUUUGCCAAAUGUAAGGUUAUAUAGACUUUGAAAUCUGGAAAUAAUAGAUGGCAUCCAUGUGAUUGGCAAUUAAAACCAUGUUUGCUUAGUUUUGAGUCCGUCUGUUCUCGGUGGUGCGAGCUCAUGCUGCAUUUUGAGAUUGUGUACAUAAGACGGUAAGACUGUUUGUAGGAGGAACUGGCUAGAGCCAUGGAUAGCUUAAGGUGGAGAAACAAGUGAAAAUCCAUGGAUACCAGCUAAGCGAAUGUAAUGGAAGAUAAUCCAUGGAUACCAGCUAAGGGAAUGUAAUGGAAGAUAAAUUCUACACAGUUUGCCAUGGGUUUUGAGUCAUGUCCUAAGCCACGUAUACUCUAUGUGCCCGCUGGCUUUCUGUUGGGCCUUGUAUAUUUGGUUUCUGGGAAGUACCGAGUUAGAAGAAAACUGUGCUAAGUGCUUACCUAGCAUAUAUUACCAGCCAUCCUCGUUAAGUGAAGUGCCAUUUGGAACACUAUUUUGAGCCAUAAUACACUUUUACCUAUGACAAUGACUUGUUUCUCCUAGUCACAACUCUCCAAUCUUUAGCAUGAACUACCCUUAUUAGACACUCAACUUUAACUGUACUUCCAAGUUUUUGAAGUUGAUUCGAGAAGUUCACUCUCUCCAAUCCAGGAUGUAGGUUUCUUUUAGAGUUGGGCACACGAUUAAUGGUGUAGGUAGCAAUGUUACCAUUUAUUUGUCUCUACAAUAAAUACAAGUGCUAGAGUUUCUUUUGGCAGCACAAUCAAUACUAGAGUUAUUACUAAUACUUGAUGAAACUAAUGAGGCGCUAAAUAAGCACACCAUGAGAAGAAAUGUGAUGUACUACAAUACUAGGCCUUAUUUGUCAGUUGAAAAGGCUAAACCACAAUUUUCCGUAUUUGCCAGUCCUUGCUGCUAAAUCUCGUUAGACUAAAUUAUCAGUUCCUCUAUAUCCGCAACCCCAGCCUUCAAGUUCUAAACCUUAUCUAGUCUAGAUUAAAUAAAUAUCACAUGUCACAAAGUAAAGCGAAGCAAUUGGUCUUUCCUUGUGCUUUCUAUUGGAACAGUCUCUUUCUAUCUGUGUUCCUGUAUUAUUCAGCUGCCACAUUUUGGUUCUUUAAUUGUCAACAAGUCCAAGUUUUUGCAGCCACUUUGAUGCAUUUGGAUUUAGCAAUUUCAGUUAUUACGUACACGAGUCUUUCUUGAUUAUAUUGCUUUCAAUAUGGUUAUCAUAUCUACUCACAAUCAUCUCCCUUUUGCUGAAUAGAAUUGAGAAGCUAAAGCGUGGUUUUGGUAUGCACGUCCCUGAAGAGUUUAGGUAGCUGGAUAUAAUGCGGGGUUCCUGCAUUUCUAAUAAUCAGUUUAAUCACCUCCCUCGGAGCUACCUAUUGGAGGGCAAGUUUGUGAUUUCUACUGAACUUGACAUGGACGCUUUUUAAGUAGUACUUGGAGUGUUGGUGAGCAGCAGAUGUAGCACUCAAGUUGUGAUCACAUGAUCUUGUGGUUGUACUAUUGAUGACCUUGGUCCUACUAAUUCAGUUUAUUUGCUGAAAGCUAUGUUUGAAAAUGAUGCAAUCUGCCAGGCAGCACUAAUUUCUCUGCAGCCUGUACUUCUGAGUGUUAUUGUCUUGAUGUAUUUUCUCACCAUGGGAAGCCUUAGGUAUACGUACAAUUAUCGGCUUGUAAUAUGUUCCUAGUGCUAUACUUCUCUAAUAUAUUUAUAUAUGUAAAUAUAUAUGUUACUCUUGUAUCAUCUCUUCCUAG
This 8272-nucleotide long non-coding RNA is filed under the name Hordeum vulgare. Its description in RNAcentral is "long non-coding RNA (HVUL_LNC007599)". The record is from RNAcentral. Lineage: Eukaryota; Viridiplantae; Streptophyta; Magnoliopsida; Poales; Poaceae.